RNAcentral lists this ribosomal RNA (377 nucleotides) under uncultured bacterium. Its description in RNAcentral is "bacterial SSU rRNA". It matches the Rfam family "Bacterial small subunit ribosomal RNA", at positions 28 to 415 of the family's 1533-position model. The record is from RNAcentral.
GACGAACGCUGGCGGCGUGCUUAACGCAUGCAAGUCACGGGGGCCCGCAAGGGCAACCGGCGAACGGGUGCGUAACACGUGAACAACCUGCCCUCGUGUGGGGGAGUAGCCAUGCUAACGCGUGGGUAAUACCGCAUACGUUCCCUUGGAGGAGUCUCUGGGGGAGGAAAGCUCCGGCGCACGGGGAGGGGUUCGCGGCCUAUCAGCUAGUUGGCGGGGUAAUGGCCCACCAAGGCGACGACGGGUAGCUGGCUGAGAGGAUGGCCAGCCACAUUGGGACUGAGAGACGGCCCAGACUCCUACGGGAGGCAGCAGUGGGGAAUCGUUGCGCAAUGGCCGAAAGGCUGACGCAGCGACGCCGCGUGUGGGAUGAAGCA